RNAcentral lists this ribosomal RNA (289 nucleotides) under uncultured bacterium. Its description in RNAcentral is "partial 16S ribosomal RNA". It matches the Rfam family "Bacterial small subunit ribosomal RNA", at positions 775 to 1067 of the family's 1533-position model. The record is from RNAcentral.
GGAUUAGAUACCCUGGUAGUCCACGCCGUAAACGAUGAUCACUCGCUGUUGGCGAUACAAAGUCAGCGGCCAAGCGAAAGCAUUAAGUGAUCCACCUGGGGAGUACGUUCGCAAGAAUGAAACUCAAAGGAAUUGACGGGGGCCCGCACAAGCGGUGGAACAUGUGGUUUAAUUCGAUGAUACGCGAGGAACCUUACCUGGGCUUAAAUGUAGGGUGCUUUUCCUCGAAAGAGGAUUUUCCUUCGGGACACUUUACAAGGUGCUGCAUGGUUGUCGUCAGCUCGUGCCG